Molecule: ribosomal RNA, 254 nt
Filed under: uncultured Bacteroidales bacterium
Lineage: Bacteria; Pseudomonadati; Bacteroidota; Bacteroidia; Bacteroidales
Description: partial 16S ribosomal RNA
Rfam family: Bacterial small subunit ribosomal RNA
Source: RNAcentral
UACGGGGGAUGCAAGCGUUAUCCGGAUUUAUUGGGUUUAAAGGGUGCGUAGGCUGUGAGGUAAGUCAGCGGUGAAAUGCCCCCGCUCAACGGGGUGAAGUGCCAUUGAUACUGCCUUGCUGGAAUGCGGAUGCCGUGGGAGGAAUGUGUGGUGUAGCGGUGAAAUGCUUAGAUAUCACGAAGAACUCCGAUUGCGAAGGCAGCUCACUGGACUGCAACUGACACUGAGGCUCGAAAGUGUGGGUAUCAAACAGG